Molecule: ribosomal RNA, 602 nt
Filed under: uncultured bacterium
Lineage: Bacteria
Description: bacterial SSU rRNA
Rfam family: Bacterial small subunit ribosomal RNA
Source: RNAcentral
CGAUACUGAUAGUGGCGCACGGGUGCGUAACACGUAACUAACCUACCCAGAACUGGGGGAUAGCCCGCCGAAAGGCGGAUUAAUACCGCAUAAGAUAGCAGCCUGGCAUCAGGUAGUUAUUAAAGAUUNAUUGGUUUUGGAUGGGGUUGCGGGUCAUUAGCUAGUUGGUAAGGUAACGGCUUACCAAGGCGACGAUGACUAGGGGAGCUGAGAGGCUGGUCCCCCACACGGGCACUGAGAUACGGGCCCGACUCCUACGGGAGGCAGCAGUAGGGAAUAUUGGGCAAUGGGCGAGAGCCUGACCCAGCCAUGCCGCGUGCAGGAAGAAGGCUUUCUGAGUCGUAAACUGCUUUUGACAGGGAAGAAUAAGCUGGUCGUGACCAGUGAUGACGGUACCUGCAGAAUAAGCACCGGCUAACUCCGUGCCAGCAGCCGCGGUAAUACGGAGGGUGCGAGCGUUGUCCGGAUUUAUUGGGUUUAAAGGGUGCGUAGGCGGCCCGUUAAGUCCGGGGUGAAAGCCCGCUGCUCAACAGCGGAACUGCCCUGGAUACUGACGGGCUUGAGUACAGACGAGGUUGGCGGAAUGGACUGAGUAGCGGUGA